CAAUAGCGUAUAUUAACGUUGUUGCAGUUAAAAAGCUCGUAGUUGGAUUUCUGGAGGGAGCGUCGGCCCGUAUUUACGAGUGCGUGACGUCUCUGUCCAUCCUUGCGGGAAGGCACGGCAUUGAUUUGUUGUGUCGGAUCGCAUCAUUUACUGUGAAAAAAUUAGAGUGUUCAAAGCAGGCUUUCGCUUGAAUACAUUAGCAUGGAAUAAUAAGAUAGGACUUUGGUGCUAUUUUGUUGGUUGAGCCUAAAGUAAUGAUUAAUAGGGAUAGUUGGGGGUAUUUAUAUUCCGAUGUCAGAGGUGAAAUUCUUAGAUUUUCGGAAGAUAAACUUAUGCGAAAGCAUUUACCAAGGAUGUUUUCAUUAA
This 366-nucleotide ribosomal RNA is filed under the name uncultured eukaryote. Its description in RNAcentral is "partial 18S ribosomal RNA". It matches the Rfam family "Eukaryotic small subunit ribosomal RNA", at positions 592 to 976 of the family's 1831-position model. The record is from RNAcentral.